GACAAACGCUGGCGGCGUGCAUAAAACAUGCAAGUCGGACGAGCCAAUCCCCGCAAGGGGAAAGGCUAGUGGCGAACGGCUGAGUAACACGUAGGUGAUCUGCCCUGAAGUGGGGGAUAACGACUCGAAAGAGUCGCUAAUACCGCAUGUGACCACCGAUCCGUUUUCGGUGCUCAAAGUCGUAAGACGCUUUAGGAGGAGCCUGCGGCGGAUUAGCUAGUUGGUGAGGUAAGGCCCACCAAGGCUUCGAUCCGUAGCUGGUCUGAGAGGAUGGCCAGCCAGACUGGGACUGAGACACGGCCCAGACUCCUACGGGAGGCAGCAGUUAGGAAUUUUGCGCAAUGGGGGAAACCCUGACGCAGCCACGCCGCGUGCGGGAUGAAGGCCUGG
This 390-nucleotide ribosomal RNA is filed under the name uncultured bacterium. RNAcentral's name for it is "bacterial SSU rRNA". It matches the Rfam family "Bacterial small subunit ribosomal RNA", at positions 28 to 419 of the family's 1533-position model. The record is from RNAcentral.